UACGUAGGUGGCGAGCGUUGUCCGGAUUUACUGGGCGUAAAGGGCGUGCAGGCGGUUUGUUAAGUGCAGGGUGAAAGCUCCCGGCUCAACUGGGAGAGGUCCUUGCAUACUGGCGAACUCGAGGGAGGCAGAGGAAAGUGGAAUUCCCGGUGUAGUGGUGAUAUGCGUAGAUAUCGGGAGGAACACCGGUGGCGAAGGCGGUUCUCUGGGCCUUACCUGACGCUGAGGAGCGAAAGCGUGGGGAGCGAACAGG
This 253-nucleotide ribosomal RNA is filed under the name uncultured bacterium. RNAcentral describes it as "partial 16S ribosomal RNA". It matches the Rfam family "Bacterial small subunit ribosomal RNA", at positions 524 to 776 of the family's 1533-position model. The record is from RNAcentral.